UUGCACGGUAAAAACAGUCACGAUGAAGACUAACCAUGAGCUCUGUUUUCUUCCAGAAUGCCCUGAACCACCUCCUCCUCCUCCUCCUCCUCCCUCUGAUGAUCCACAACCGCAGCUGCUCGUUAUCAUCUCCUUCAUCCUCAUCAUCCUCAUCAUCCUCAUUGUGGGGGUUUUCUGUUGGAAACGCUGCAGGAAGAGAAGAAAUCAAACCCAGACUCGCACAGAAGAAGAAUCAUCCUCCAUGACACCAUGAAGGAGACUGAGAGACAUCUUUUCUACUUUUAACAUGAAUUUUUAAAGUUCAUCCUGAACAGAUGUUUUUAACCAGCACUGACUACAUCUUAUGUACUGUAAUAAAGUGGAUGAGAAGAUCUAUGAACUGUGAGGGUGAUAUUUCUAUCUAUAUUCUCUUUUCUUUGACAAACAUCUUUAAACUUUUCCUUCAGCGUUAUAAGCUAUUUAGCAGUUUGAGGUAAAACUGGUCACAUUAAAUUAGCAUGAAAACAUAUCCCAGAGAACGGUCGACUCGGUACACGGUAGUGUUAUUAACCAUUAGGUAUAUUUUGCGCCAGAUUUCCCCUUUAACAUUCUCAGUUUGUUUUUAAAUGCUCAUCACACAGUGC
RNAcentral lists this long non-coding RNA (623 nucleotides) under Sander lucioperca (pikeperch). Its description in RNAcentral is "lncRNA (ENSSLUG00000004510.1)". The record is from RNAcentral. Lineage: Eukaryota; Metazoa; Chordata; Actinopteri; Perciformes; Percidae.